Molecule: ribosomal RNA, 425 nt
Filed under: uncultured bacterium
Lineage: Bacteria
Description: partial 16S ribosomal RNA
Rfam family: Bacterial small subunit ribosomal RNA
Source: RNAcentral
GUGGGGAAUCUUAGACAAUGGGGGAAACCCUGAUCUAGCCAUGCCGCGUGAGCGAUGAAGGCCUUAGGGUUGUAAAGCUCUUUCAGCUGGGAAGAUAAUGACGGUACCAGCAGAAGAAGCCCCGGCUAACUCCGUGCCAGCAGCCGCGGUAAUACGGAGGGGGCUAGCGUUGUUCGGAAUUACUGGGCGUAAAGCGCACGUAGGCGGAUCAGAAAGUCAGAGGUGAAAUCCCAGGGCUCAACCUUGGAACUGCCUUCAAAACUCCUGGUCUGGAGUUCGAGAGAGGUGAGUGGAAUUCCGAGUGUAGAGGUGAAAUUCGUAGAUAUUCGGAGGAACACCAGUGGCGAAGGCGGCUCACUGGCUCGAUACUGACGCUGAGGUGCGAAAGCGUGGGGAGCAAACAGGAUUAGAUACCCGGGUAGUCC